GAUGAACGCUAGCUACAGGCUUAACACAUGCAAGUCGAGGGGCAGCAUGGAGGAAGCUUGCUUCCUUCGAUGGCGACCGGCGCACGGGUGAGUAACGCGUAUCCAACCUUCCCCUUAGUAGGGCAUAGCCCGGUGAAAAUCGGAUUAAUACCCUAUGUUCUUCACAGCGGACAUCUAACGUGAAGCAAAGAUUCAUCGCUAAGGGAUGGGGAUGCGUCUGAUUAGGUUGCAGGCGGGGUAACGGCCCACCAAAGCGACGAUCAGUAGCCGGCCUGAGAGGGUGAACGGCCACAUUGGGACUGAGACACGGCCCAGACUCC
This 320-nucleotide ribosomal RNA is filed under the name uncultured Oscillospiraceae bacterium. Its description in RNAcentral is "bacterial SSU rRNA". It matches the Rfam family "Bacterial small subunit ribosomal RNA", at positions 28 to 339 of the family's 1533-position model. Lineage: Bacteria; Bacillati; Bacillota; Clostridia; Eubacteriales; Oscillospiraceae. The record is from RNAcentral.